GUGAGGAAUAUUGGUCAAUGGGUGCAAGCCUGAACCAGCCAUGCCGCGUGCAGGAAGACGGUCCUAUGGAUUGUAAACUGCUUUUAUUUGGGAAUAAACUCCGGUACGUGUACCGGCCUGAAGGUACCAAAUGAAUAAGCACCGGCUAACUCCGUGCCAGCAGCCGCGGUAAUACGGAGGGUGCAAGCGUUAUCCGGAAUCAUUGGGUUUAAAGGGUCCGCAGGCGGUCUUAUAAGUCAGUGGUGAAAGCCUACAGCUCAACUGUAGAACUGCCAUUGAUACUGUAGGACUUGAAUUCGAUCGAAGUGGGCGGAAUGUGACAUGUAGCGGUGAAAUGCUUAGAUAUGUCACAGAACACCGAUAGCGAAGGCAGCUCACUAGGUCUGGAUUGACGCUCAGGGACGAAAGCGUGGGUAGCGAACAGGAUUAGAAACCCCGGUAGUCC
This 445-nucleotide ribosomal RNA is filed under the name uncultured bacterium. RNAcentral describes it as "partial 16S ribosomal RNA". It matches the Rfam family "Bacterial small subunit ribosomal RNA", at positions 354 to 796 of the family's 1533-position model. The record is from RNAcentral.